AUGCCCCAGUUUGACUGUUUUGCUGAUUCUCAUGAUACAGCUGAAUGAGCUUCUCUGGUGCUCAAGAAGUCGGGUAAUCUCAUCAGGAAUCCCCUUCAACAUCAUCUUCCUCUGCUCCGAAUACAAAGAGUUCAAGAUUGGGAGAUGGCGUUGGAUCAUUAUGUUCAAUGGGUUUAGAAAUCCCUGCAUAAUGAUUCUGGAUAAUGAAA
Molecule: long non-coding RNA, 209 nt
Filed under: Lathyrus oleraceus (garden pea)
Lineage: Eukaryota; Viridiplantae; Streptophyta; Magnoliopsida; Fabales; Fabaceae
Description: Pisum sativum (pea) long non-coding RNA (PSAT_LNC041489)
Source: RNAcentral